Carassius gibelio (silver crucian carp) is the source of this 890-nucleotide long non-coding RNA. RefSeq lists it as uncharacterized. The transcript is spliced from 3 exons. NCBI's taxonomy places the organism in Eukaryota, Metazoa, Chordata, Actinopteri, Cypriniformes, Cyprinidae. The record is from RefSeq and is a predicted model, not a curated record.
CAUUGUAUGAUGCUUCAUGAAUUGUUUCUUUCACACACUAAUAAACUGUAUUGUUGUUUUUUAAUUUUUUACAGGUACUAGGCGAAUAAUGUCGAUCAGCAGGCACUUGCAGCAGGUAAGUAGGCACCUUUGUGCAUAAUUCAGGUGAGUACAGGGAACUCGAGGUCCAUAGGAACCCGGCACUGGCUUGGUUAGGUGAAGGAAAAUCCAGAAUCCGAAUCCCGAAGGAUUCGAAAACGGUUGUGCACGGUCCUGAGUCCCACCGGCCGCCAAGAGUCACAAGCACACCCCCAAAUCACACACACAACAGCCAACACUUCCCCACAGAAAGCCAACGCCAGUCUAAAAUAUUUUUUUAGGCUCUGUAAAAAAUCCCAAACCCGGGCUACAGCCACACGGGCUGUUUUUCUCAGGGGUGUGUGAAGAAAAACCGAUGGUAGGUUAAGGUUUAGAUGUGGUUAAGGGGUAUAUUACUCUAAAAGUACACAUCUCAACGUCUGUAUGGACGGAGAAGAAAAAUUGAAUAAACAUAUAUUGUGCUCAGACGCAUCACCACCCUAAUGAUGCCGGCUGUUUAUUUUUAAAUGUCUUCAAAUUUUGUCAUUCAGGUCUGGCGAAUUCAAUGACAAAAUGACUCUGACCCAGCUCGCUCCAGCAUUUAUGUGCCAGGAGGGCGGGGCUUCUCACCUCGCAACCAAUAGCAACCGAUAACCACCUUCAGCAUUGUAUGAUGCUUCAUGAAUUGUUUCUUUCACACACUAAUAAACUGUAUUGUUGUUUUUUAAUUUUUUACAGGUACUAGGCGAAUAAUGUCGAUCAGCAGGCACUUGCAGCAGGUAAGUAGGCACCUUUGUGCAUAAUUCAGGUGAGUACAGGGAACUCGAGGUCCA